RNAcentral lists this long non-coding RNA (2518 nucleotides) under Helianthus annuus (common sunflower). RNAcentral describes it as "hypothetical non coding rna". Lineage: Eukaryota; Viridiplantae; Streptophyta; Magnoliopsida; Asterales; Asteraceae. The record is from RNAcentral.
UGAUCUGAAUUGUUCUAAGUUGGGGCCUUAGUGCUUCAUACCUGAACAUCCAAGGUCAUUUCCAUCCUUGCUUGGACCCUUUGUGAGUAUCCUUUCGUUCCUAGUUUAAUUAUUUAGUGGUUAUAGCCGUAAGGUCAAGCGUUUCGAUAAACGCUUUGACUUUUAAACGGCUAAGCCAUGGUUCGCAAUGAACAUGGCUACGUGACCGUAAUUAGGUAGGUAAUUAACCCUUAAAAGGGCGCCUCCUAAUUACCACGUUACUUAGUUUAAUUGUCGGGUCAACUUAAAGUCAAACGGGUUAGUUUUAAACAAAAUGCAUAACUAUUAAAUUAGAAGUCAUAAAAUCAGUUUUGCCACAUUAAUAACUUGGUAAAUAUUAGUUGAACAUGUCUAAGCAUGAUUCAACCCGACAAUUCUAAGUAUAGGCCCGGUUCGGAGCCGAAAGUCGCGAAAGUUGACUUUUGCUUUGACUUUCAGUUCUGACCCGAAUUAGACUUAUUUAGAUAUGCCUUAGGAUUCCUUUAGGAUCAUUUUAUAGGUUAGUGUAACCCUCUGAGGUUAUACAACCUGAAUCCUUAGUUAUCCUAUUCAUUUGCAAGUUUCCGUUAUAUGCCGAAUUGUUGACCGUUAUGCCCUUUUGACCUUAAAGCGAUAUUUUUGAAAUUGUGAGAGGAUAGAAACCUUCAUUACUGAAUUAUAAAGUUGUCCAUAAAAUCUGACAUCAGUUUGAGGUCCAAAUUAGGAGUUAUGCUCAAUAGCGUAAUUAGAAGCUUCUUUAGUAAUUAAAUAGCGUAAAUUGCAUAUAGCGUAUCUAAACCCAAAUUUUUGUAUAAAAAUUUAUACCUACUGUAUUAAAAUAAUAUUUUGGGAUUUUUAAAGAUUUUUAUUCAAUUUUAGGCUGAGCAUAACUUAGUGUUCUAAGCUUAAUUCGGCUAAUGACGGUUUUGCCCUUUUAAGCUAUAAAAUGAGUUUUAUAAAUCCGAUUGACCCCAAACCUUUUUCUACUGAUCUAAUAUGUUACAUAAAUUAUUUUGAGCCUUCUGGAAUUUUAAAAAUAUCAGCUUUUUAUAUAAAACCCGGAAAUGGCUCCAAAUCGCCUUUUUAAGCGUUUUUAACACAUAAGUAUGUGCUAGAACCAAUUUAAGCAUAUAAGGUUGAAACCUACUGAUGUAUUCAGUAAAAUUUUAUAUUUUAAAUAGUAGGAGAAUAUCUUAAGAUCAGAAUUCCAGUUUUGACCUUUUAAGCAUAUGUGAAAUUACCAAAACGCCCCUACGGUGUCUAGAAUGGUUAAGAUUGAUAAAUUUCGCAAUAGGAUCAAUAACCUACUGUUAUAACAUGGUAAAAUGAGUAGGUUUACUGAUUUGUUCAGACCUGUAACUCAGAAUGUCAUUUAAACCCUUUUACACCCUUUAAAGUGACCAAAAUGCCCUUAUGAGGCAUAGUUUGGGUUUAAAACCAUUUGGGGCAUAAUGGAAGGUAUCAUUCUGAUAUCACAACAUAUUUUUGGCAUAUUAACCUCGGAAACUUGUAUUUGACUCUUAUGGUUGCUCGUUACGCACUUUAUGCGUUCGGAUCGGCGUAGGUAACUAGUUUACCCAUUAUAGCCGAAACGGGUCAAACCAUAUCAUUUCGGUCUCAAAAUCCAGAAUGUGAUUAAGUUACCCAUAUUAAACAAGUAUGCAAGCUUGUUGGGUCAAAACCACAUUCUAAAAACGGUCUUCGCCUUAUCGUGCGUUUAAACCGUAAUCUUCAUUUAAGAACUAACCGGUCUAGGCUUAGGCCAAAUUAAAGACCCGUUAGAAAUCUAAUAGGUUAUUAAAAACCUUCGUUCCAGAUUUAGGAGCCCAGUAAAAGCUAUCUGUACUUGCUUGGUGGUAUACGACUGGGAUUAAAUUUAUAUUUAGCUCAGGUAAAUACGUUUAACUUAUUUUCCCUAUACGGGCUUGGGGUACGGUAUAUAAAAUACCGCUUGGUCGGGGAAUUGACCUUAACCGGUCUUGGUUAUGUGCAGUCAAAUUAACCCGUUUGAAAAUGCUGUUUUGUUUGUUUAACGCCUUUGGGGGCUUAAUGACCAUGUCCCGGAUAUCCUUGGCAUCAUUCAAAGAAUGGUCACGACCUUAGCACUCGGGUGUAGGCGUACACCCGUAGUGCUGUACAACAUGUAUAAUCGUCGGUACGAGAGAAGUCUCGCGGCGGAAUUAUAUUAAGUGGUGUGUCUAUUAAUCUUUAACCCGGCACGACCCGGGCUACCGAACGCAGAACGAACAUGUAAUUCUUUUACAAGAUUAUAGGCAAAUAAUUGUCCCAAGUUAUAAAAUGUUUUGUGCCUCGAGAUUCAAAUCAGUACUACGCGUAAUAGGCUGGUCUCUCCUAGCAUCAAAUAGAAGUCUCGCAAGCUUAGAUGCCUGAAGUGUGUUGAACAAUGUUUUAUUUUAUUUUGCGAUCCGCCUGUGGAUCUUUCACUUUCCGUUUGUAAUACUUGGAUAUUACUUCAUAUCGGAUUGUAAUAUAUUUUGCU